GACGAACGCUGGCGGCGUGCUUAACACAUGCAAGUCGAGCGGUAAGGCCCUUUCGGGGGUACACGAGCGGCGAACGGGUGAGUAACACGUGGGUGACCUGCCCUCAGCUCUGGGAUAAGCCUGGGAAACCGGGUCUAAUACUGGAUAUGACUCCAUGACGCAUGUUGUGGGGUGGAAAGCCUUGUGCGGCUGAGGAUGGGCCCGCGGCCUAUCAGCUUGUUGGUGGGGUGANGGCCUACCAAGGCGACGACGGGUAGCCGGCCUGAGAGGGCGACCGGCCACACUGGGACUGAGACACGGCCCAGACUCCUACGGGAGGCAGCAGUGGGGGAAUCUUGCGACAAGU
This 346-nucleotide ribosomal RNA is filed under the name uncultured bacterium. Its description in RNAcentral is "bacterial SSU rRNA". It matches the Rfam family "Bacterial small subunit ribosomal RNA", at positions 28 to 374 of the family's 1533-position model. The record is from RNAcentral.